Molecule: ribosomal RNA, 425 nt
Filed under: uncultured bacterium
Lineage: Bacteria
Description: bacterial SSU rRNA
Rfam family: Bacterial small subunit ribosomal RNA
Source: RNAcentral
GGGGGAUAUUGCACAAUGGAGGAAAGUCUGAUGGAGCAACGCCGCGUGAGCGAUGAAGGCCUUCGGGUCGUAAAGCUCUGUUGUUAGGGAAGAACAAGUAUCGGAGUAACUGCCGGUACCUUGACGGUACCUAACCAGAAAGCCACGGCUAACUACGUGCCAGCAGCCGCGGUAAUACGUAGGUGGCAAGCGUUGUCCGGAAUUAUUGGGCGUAAAGCGCGCGCAGGCGGUCCUUUAAGUCUGAUGUGAAAGCCCACGGCUCAACCGUGGAGGGUCAUUGGAAACUGGGGGACUUGAGUGCAGAAGAGGAAAGCGGAAUUCCACGUGUAGCGGUGAAAUGCGUAGAGAUGUGGAGGAACACCAGUGGCGAAGGCGGCUUUCUGGUCUGUAACUGACGCUGAGGCGCGAAAGCGUGGGGAGCAAAC